GGCUGUCACUUCCAGUUUUCAAGCAAGGUUGGAAACCAGCCAUGAUGUAUGAAACACUGUUGACCAAAGUGCACAAUUAGUAAUACAAAAUGAAUAAUAUAAACUAUUGUAAAUAUGUGUGGACAUCGUGGCAAUUUGGACAUCAAAAAACACUGCCAAAUUCAGGAAGAGGAAGCUGUAAACUCAUGGCUGUUAGGAAGCUUAACUUCUGUGUACUAGAACCCAUCAAAAUUUCUCCAUGUCCAUCUGUCCGAACAAACAUUGAGAUGUUUAUUUCUAUAUAAUUCCUAUUGAAUCCUACUGGGCAGGACCCUUCUGGCCCCAUC
This 326-nucleotide long non-coding RNA is filed under the name Pongo abelii (Sumatran orangutan). RNAcentral describes it as "lincRNA". The record is from RNAcentral. Lineage: Eukaryota; Metazoa; Chordata; Mammalia; Primates; Hominidae.